RNAcentral lists this long non-coding RNA (409 nucleotides) under Heterocephalus glaber (naked mole-rat). Its description in RNAcentral is "lncRNA (ENSHGLG00100048536.1)". Lineage: Eukaryota; Metazoa; Chordata; Mammalia; Rodentia; Bathyergidae. The record is from RNAcentral.
CUUACUUGGAAAGUCUCCUGCAUUUUGUAGGCAAUAAAAACGUAAAAAGAACGCUUUUUUGCAGAGAAUUUCACAAGCCUAGCCCCAGUUUGUAGCCUACCAGAAGGCAGUUGUAACCUAAUUCCGCUGUGGCUCAUCAGUACCUCCAGGCCCAGGUCACCUCUGUCCUCCCUUCCGUCCAUCCCUGGAGCCUCCAACGCCACUGUGAGAGAAAAGAACCGUGCCAAUCUGAGAAAAUCCAAGGGAGAUCUUUUUUGCAAGGCGGAUACAAAUGAAAACAUUGCAAGGCUUUGUUUCCACUUCUCAAUCAGAAAAUGGAUUUAUGAAGGCAGCUGUCUGGUUCAAGGGCAUGCAAGAAGACAUUCAACUCCCUGGAGAAAAGAAAACACAACAAAACGAUGAAGUUUUA